Molecule: transfer RNA, 73 nt
Filed under: Araneus ventricosus
Lineage: Eukaryota; Metazoa; Arthropoda; Arachnida; Araneae; Araneidae
Description: tRNA-Thr
Source: RNAcentral
AGCCAACGGCGAGAUUCGAACUCGCGACCCCUGGUUUACGAGACCAGUGCUCUAGCCUCUGAGCUAUAGUGGC